Molecule: long non-coding RNA, 233 nt
Filed under: Capra hircus (goat)
Lineage: Eukaryota; Metazoa; Chordata; Mammalia; Artiodactyla; Bovidae
Description: lncRNA (ENSCHIG00000000893.1)
Source: RNAcentral
GAAUACAUAAAUUCUAGGAUUUGCUAUCCCCAAAAAUAGAGUGGAGUUGGAGAUAAUCCCUCAAACUUCCAACACCUCUGCAUUUAACUGUGAUAGAAAAGAUAGCCAAAGGACCCUCCCCACCAGAACUCUUCAACCUUCCUGGACGUUGUUUUUGUAUGGGGCUAACCUUCAAGAUGGUUGGGAAUAACACAGGAAAUUAACUUUAUUCAUAUGAAGCAAGUCAAAAGAGG